This 449-nucleotide ribosomal RNA is filed under the name uncultured bacterium. RNAcentral's name for it is "bacterial SSU rRNA". It matches the Rfam family "Bacterial small subunit ribosomal RNA", at positions 355 to 796 of the family's 1533-position model. The record is from RNAcentral.
UGGGGAAUAUUGGACAAUGGGCGCAAGCCUGAUCCAGCAAUGCCGCGUGUGUGAAGAAGGCCUGCGGGUUGUAAAGCACUUUCAGUGGGGAGGAAGGGCUUAGUGCUAAUAGUACUGAGCAUUGACGCUACCCACAGAAGAAGCACCGGCUAACUCUGUGCCAGCAGCCGCGGUAAUACAGAGGGUGCAAGCGUUAAUCGGAAUUACUGGGCGUAAAGGGCGCGUAGGUGGUUUGCUAAGUCAGAUGUGAAAACCCUGGGCUUAACUUAGGAAUUGCAUUUGAAACUGGUAGACUAGAGUUUGGGAGAGGGAAGUGGAAUUUCAGGUGUAGCGGUGAAAUGCGUAGAUAUCUGAAGGAACAUCAGUGGCGAAGGCGACUUCCUGGCCCGAUACUGACACUGAGGCGCGAAAGCGUGGGGAGCGAACAGGAUUAGAUACCCCCGUAGUCC